AGGACGAACGCUGGCGGCGUGCUUAACACAUGCAAGUCGAACGGUAAGGCCCUUCGGGGUACACGAGUGGCGAACGGGUGAGUAACACGUGGGUGAUCUGCUCUGCACUUCGGGAUAAGCCUGGGAAACUGGGUCUAAUACCGGAUAGGACCAUGGACUUCACGGUUUGUGGUGGAAAGCUUUUGCGGUGUGGGAUGGGCCCGCGGCCUAUCAGCUUGUUGGUGGGGUAAUGGCCUACCAAGGCAACGACGGGUAGCCGGCCUGAGAGGGUGUCCGGCCACACUGGGACUGAGAUACGGCCCAGACUCCUACGGGAGGCAGCAGUGGGGAAUAUUGCACAAUGGGCGCAAGCCUGAUGCAGCGACGCCGCGUGAGGGAUGACGGCCUUCGGGUUGUAGACCUCUUUCAAUAGGGACGAAGCGCAAGUGACGGUACCUAUAGAAGAAGCACCGGCCAACUACGUG
This 464-nucleotide ribosomal RNA is filed under the name uncultured bacterium. RNAcentral describes it as "bacterial SSU rRNA". It matches the Rfam family "Bacterial small subunit ribosomal RNA", at positions 26 to 507 of the family's 1533-position model. The record is from RNAcentral.